This 374-nucleotide unclassified non-coding RNA is filed under the name soil metagenome. RNAcentral's name for it is "partial contains internal transcribed spacer 2 and large subunit ribosomal RNA". The stretch from base 1 to 120 matches the Rfam family "5.8S ribosomal RNA", at positions 35 to 154 of the family's 154-position model. The record is from RNAcentral.
GAUGAAGAACGCAGCUAAAUGCGAUAAUUAAUGUGAAUUGCAGAAUUCCGUGAAUCAUCGAGUCUUUGAACGCACAUUGCGCCUCAUGGCAUUCCGUGAGGCAUGCCCAUCUCAGCGUUAGAAAAUAUUCUCAAAUUUUAGUUUUGUGCUAAAAUUUGGAUCAUGUCAAAGAAGCUAUUACUAUUAUUGUGAUCGCUCUUUGGAAAUUGAUAGGUCUUUGAGUUGCUACUCAUAGAACGUGAUGAAUCUUUCUUCGUUCUAUUGUAAUUCACUCUGGUAGUCCUAAAACUUGUAUGCCUGUGGCAUAUCUUGUAAUUUGACCUGAGAUUGGGUAGGGAUACCCGCUGAACUUAAGCAUAUCAAUAAGCGGAGGA